UUUGCACAUGGACUCGUCGAGUCCCCUGUCCAAACAACAAAAAAUUCGAUUUUUUCAGCAAAUUGCAUCAAGUAUAAUUGAAAACAGGCCUAGGCUAUGAUACCACUGAUGGGUUUUGAGCAUUCUAAAACUCCUAUGGUGUACAUGCAACCCUAUAAACCUUGGAUCUAUGUUUUCUCUAUUAUACAUGCAAAUAUUCAAUAUUCCAAGGUUUCAUUCUAACUAGCAUAAUAUGAAGUAUAUACAAUUCAAGAAUCUAGUAGAAUAACAUACCUUUUGAUGGAGCUUGAAGUCUUGAACCUUUAAGAGCUUAGUGCCCCAAGUGUUGCACCUCAAAUGGUUCACACAACACCAAAAACCCUUGGAAUAACUUGAGAAGAAGGUUACUUAGGUUCACUCUUAUGAGAUCGGCCUUGCCCUCUUUUUCUGUAUGCACUAGUGGCAUUUCAUGAAGCAUAGACCACUUUAUAUAGUGUGGAGGAUUAGGGUUACAUUCAUGUAAACCCUAAUACCCAUGACCUUUCAUUUCCAUAGGAUCCAUGGGUUAAAAACUCCAUGGACUAUCCAUGCAAGCUUAGCCCAACCUAAAUGAACUUGGCCCAUCCUAUAUAUAUAAGAGUCCAUAUUUAAUUAGUUCCUUUUGAUCAAUAAAUUAAUUUUAAAUUAAUUAUUGAUCAAUACUAAUUAACUAAUAUGAAUUCAUAUUAAUAUAUUAGAACUUAUAAUAUAUUAAUAUAAAUCAUAAGUAUCCUUUUUCUCAUUUUGUCUAUCCAAUUGUUCUGAUUCCAUGCAACCCAAAUGGACCAUGCCAAAUUGGGUUAAGUGAUGGGUUUUUAAGCAUUCUAACACUCCUAUGGUGUACAUGCAACCCUAUAAACCUUGGAUCUAUGUUUUCUCUAUUAUACAUGCAAAUACUUAAUAUUCCAAGGUUUCAUCCUAACUAGCAUAAUAUGAAGCAACUAUACUACAAAAGUCUAGUUAGAUAACAUACCUUUUG
Molecule: long non-coding RNA, 997 nt
Filed under: Lactuca sativa (garden lettuce)
Lineage: Eukaryota; Viridiplantae; Streptophyta; Magnoliopsida; Asterales; Asteraceae
Description: long non-coding RNA (LSAT_LNC003017)
Source: RNAcentral